This is a long non-coding RNA of Ylistrum balloti, 1323 nucleotides long. RefSeq lists it as uncharacterized. The record is from RefSeq and is a predicted model, not a curated record. NCBI's taxonomy places the organism in Eukaryota, Metazoa, Mollusca, Bivalvia, Pectinida, Pectinidae. The transcript is spliced from 3 exons.
CUUUAUGACUAGCUAACGUUGACUUGAGGCCAACACGGGAUAUUGACAAAGCAUCUCCGAAAAAUUGUUUUGACCGAAGUUUCAGCAAUCGUUAGUGGACAUCAUUAACUGGAAUUCUGACAUCGGUACAUGACGUCAUCUAAAGGAAACAUCAGUGACGUCAUCUAUAUACGUAAUAUGGUGACCGUCGCACGAUGACGUCAUGUGAGAUUGCGUGUAGUGUAGCCAUGCGUGUACUACUCGUGAUGAAAAGACACGAUUUAUACAAAGGUUUUGGAUGUCUAAGUCACAGCCAACAUGUUAUCGGCAGGAGGCAGCAAUCUUUGGAGAUUACUGGUUCAGAUAUUCUUUCUCGUUCUUGUCAUUAACGAUGCCUCAAUCACAAGCUCUUUGCCUAUUCCAAAGAAUGUCGAACAAAACGUCACUAAUAUCACCGAUACAACCGUCGAAUUACAUUCCAAUAGAGCAGACCGUUGUAUACAAUGCAUUCUGCCAUCAGGCGAAGACUUCCAGCAUAACGCAUUUAUCAAGAGGCCACCGGAGACCUACGUAGCGCUGAAAGAAAGCACAGCUGUGUUCGAAUGCAUUCCCAGUUUAUUUAACAUCUCAAGUGAUGAUGUCACUGUCACGUGGACAAUUCCAUUUUCAGUCCCGGUGACGUCGUAUGAUAAACUACAUUCCGAGGAUGCAACGGGAGCCUUCAUAACUCCAAACAGCUCAAUUUUGAUUAUGAAAAAUGUGCAACCAGAGUUCUCCGGAAUUUAUCAGUGUGUGGUGGAAACUUCCUCUAGCACUAUAAUAGCUGAAAUGAACUUGGUCGUUCGAAUGUAUGUAGUCGACAUAUAUAACUGGCUUAUCGCUGGAAUUCCUGGGUUUUUACUGAUAUCCAUGUGUGUCGUCAUAACUUUCUUUUAUUGUAGAAUAGAAAAAAAUCGCAGGGAAUUCUACCGAGCACGCCGGCUUCUCAAGGAACAACAGGUUUUAUAUAAAUAUUGAUACCGAAAUAUUUCAACAAUUUCUGAAAACAAAUCUUAGAUGUAGGAAAACGUUCCCUAUUUACUUGGAUUGAAAUUUCGUCUUCUUUUGAAAAAGUACACAGAGAGCCCUUGUCUGUAAGAGGAUUGUGAGGAGACACAAUGAAACAUAUUUCUAAAUACUUCAGAUGAAUAACUUAAAAUAUGGCACUUUGUGUGCAAAAGAAUGUAUCUAUAAAGAAUAUGUGUAUCUAUUAAUAAGAUCAUAUCGUACAAUUUGUGUAAUUAGGUCCUAUUUUACAAUUUUUAAAAUUAGGUCCUUUCUUACAAUUUUUGUAAUUAGGUCCUA